GCUGGCGUAGCUCAACAGGUAGAGCAGCUGACUUGUAAUCAGCAGGUUGCGGGUUCAAUUCCUGUCGCCAGCUCCA
Molecule: transfer RNA, 76 nt
Filed under: Desulfuromonas carbonis
Lineage: Bacteria; Pseudomonadati; Thermodesulfobacteriota; Desulfuromonadia; Desulfuromonadales; Desulfuromonadaceae
Also listed under: 7 other names
Description: tRNA-Thr
Rfam family: tRNA
About the family: Transfer RNA (tRNA) molecules are approximately 80 nucleotides in length. Their secondary structure includes four short double-helical elements and three loops (D, anti-codon, and T loops).
Source: RNAcentral